Non-coding RNA from Trichobilharzia regenti, 45 nucleotides. The record is from Rfam. Lineage: Eukaryota; Metazoa; Platyhelminthes; Trematoda; Strigeidida; Schistosomatidae.
AUCCGGCUGACGAGUCCCAAAUAGGACCAAAUGCGCAUCUUGGAU